CGCUCCGCAGACAACUACGGAGCCUGUGCUCCGAGGAAACACCGUCCUCUGUACGGAUCCAGAGCCCUGCAAGGGGCCAGGGUAAUACCCUGGGCUCCGGCACAGAAACGACAUGUCCGCAAAUCGAUGAAGAUGAUGCGGCGAGGCUCCUUAGGUAACUAGGGAGCAGAACCCGCUGAUGAGGUUUGUGGAAGCAGUGAAACGGCCGUCCUCUGGAGGGUAAGGAUCCAGCUCGGUGAAGUCCGUAUGAGGGCUGGGAACCCGCUAAGCCUAAUGUUGUCUAAGACAGAAGACGGGUUAUUGCGGUGCG
RNAcentral lists this RNase P RNA (310 nucleotides) under Ignisphaera aggregans. RNAcentral's name for it is "RNase P RNA component". It matches the Rfam family "Archaeal RNase P". Rfam says of the family: Ribonuclease P (RNase P) is a ubiquitous endoribonuclease, found in archaea, bacteria and eukarya as well as chloroplasts and mitochondria. Its best characterised activity is the generation of mature 5'-ends of tRNAs by cleaving the 5'-leader elements of precursor-tRNAs. Cellular RNase Ps are ribonucleoproteins. RNAcentral also lists the same sequence under 1 other name. The record is from RNAcentral. Lineage: Archaea; Thermoproteati; Thermoproteota; Thermoprotei; Desulfurococcales; Desulfurococcaceae.